GUGGGGAAUCUUGCGCAAUGGGCGAAAGCCUGACGCAGCCAUGCCGCGUGAAUGAUGAAGGUCUUAGGAUUGUAAAAUUCUUUCACCGGGGACGAUAAUGACGGUACCCGGAGAAGAAGCCCCGGCUAACUUCGUGCCAGCAGCCGCGGUAAUACGAAGGGGGCUAGCGUUGCUCGGAAUUACUGGGCGUAAAGGGCGCGUAGGCGGACAGUUUAGUCAGAGGUGAAAGCCCAGGGCUCAACCUUGGAAUUGCCUUUGAUACUGGCUGUCUUGAGUACGGGAGAGGUGAGUGGAACUCCGAGUGUAGAGGUGAAAUUGGUAGAUAUUCGGAAGAACACCAGUGGCGAAGGCGACUCACUGGCCCGUUACUGACGCUGAGGCGCGAAAGCGUGGGGAGCAAACAGGAUUAGAUACCCUUGUAGUCC
RNAcentral lists this ribosomal RNA (425 nucleotides) under uncultured bacterium. RNAcentral describes it as "partial 16S ribosomal RNA". It matches the Rfam family "Bacterial small subunit ribosomal RNA", at positions 354 to 796 of the family's 1533-position model. The record is from RNAcentral.